RNAcentral lists this ribosomal RNA (262 nucleotides) under uncultured bacterium. RNAcentral describes it as "partial 16S ribosomal RNA". It matches the Rfam family "Bacterial small subunit ribosomal RNA", at positions 793 to 1055 of the family's 1533-position model. The record is from RNAcentral.
GUCCACGCCGUAAACGUUGGGCGCUAGGUGUGGGGAACCUUCCACGUUCUCCGUGCCGUAGCUAACGCAUUAAGCGCCCCGCCUGGGGAGUACGGCCGCAAGGCUAAAACUCAAAGGAAUUGACGGGGGCCCGCACAAGCGGCGGAGCAUGUGGCUUAAUUCGACGCAACGCGAAGAACCUUACCAAGGCUUGACAUGCAGGGAAAUCUGGCAGAGAUGUCAGGUCCGCAAGGGUCCUGCACAGGUGGUGCAUGGUUGUCGU